CAGUUCUCAGAGCCACCGGGGUGCAGGGCCCGGGGUCCUCGUGUCCCUGGGGAAGAGGCCAUGCCUCCAGGGCCGUGCUGUGACCGGCACGAAUCAACCAAGUGACCCCGUGUCUGCAUUGCCGCCUGGGGUCCCAGAAGGACACGUGACAGACAGACGGGCCUCCAGCCGCCCGCUGGGCUGGGAGGAGGCUCUACUGCAGCUGCAACAAAGCAUGGCUCAUAGACGCCACUGUGAACAAGGCACCUUGGGAGACCUGGAGGCAAGUGUCCUUGUGUCCUGAGAACCUAACCUUCGUCUUGAAAGCAGCUGUGAUUCUGAUAAGGCCUCCGAAUGGCUAAUGUGUCGCCCUGGCAAUAAAAUUUAAAUCAAUGUCUUUGUUUUCUUGAA
Long non-coding RNA from Hyaena hyaena (striped hyena), 390 nucleotides. RefSeq lists it as uncharacterized. Lineage: Eukaryota; Metazoa; Chordata; Mammalia; Carnivora; Hyaenidae. The transcript is spliced from 2 exons. The record is from RefSeq and is a predicted model, not a curated record.